GAUGAACGCUGGCGGCGUGCCUAAUACAUGCAAGUCGAGCGAACGGACGAGAAGCUUGCUUUUCUGAUGUUAGCGGCGGACGGGUGAGUAACACGUGGAUAACCUACCUAUAAGACUGGGAUAACUUCGGGAAACCGGAGCUAAUACCGGAUAAUAUUUUGAACCGCAUGGUUCAAAAGUGAAAGACGGUCUUGCUGUCACUUAUAGAUGGAUCCGCGCUGCAUUAGCUAGUUGGUAAGGUAACGGCUUACCAAGGCAACGAUGCAUAGCCGACGUGAGAGGCGGGUCGGCCACACUAGAACUGGGACAGGGACCAGACUCCUACGGGAGGCAGCAGUAGGGAAUCUUCCGCAAUGGGCGAAAGCCUGACGGAGCAACGCCGCGUGAGUGAUGAAGGUCUUCGGAUCGUAAAACUCUGUUAUUAGGGAAGAACAUAUGUGUAAGUAACUGUGGACAUCUUGACGGUAACUAAUCAGAAAGCCACGGCUAACUACGUG
This 497-nucleotide ribosomal RNA is filed under the name uncultured bacterium. Its description in RNAcentral is "partial 16S ribosomal RNA". It matches the Rfam family "Bacterial small subunit ribosomal RNA", at positions 28 to 507 of the family's 1533-position model. The record is from RNAcentral.